Molecule: ribosomal RNA, 390 nt
Filed under: uncultured bacterium
Lineage: Bacteria
Description: bacterial SSU rRNA
Rfam family: Bacterial small subunit ribosomal RNA
Source: RNAcentral
GACGAACGCUGGCGGCGUGCUUAACACAUGCAAGUCGAGCGGUAAGGCCCUUUCGGGGGUACGACGAGCGGCGAACGGGUGAGUAACACGUGGGUGACCUGCCUCUAGCUCUGGGAUAAGCCUGGGAAGCUGGGUCUAAUACCGGAUAUGACCUCGCGGUGCAUGUUGCGGGGUGGAAAGCCUUGUGCGGCUAGGGAUGGGCCCGCGGCCUAUCAGCUUGUUGGUGGGGUGANGGCCUACCAAGGCGACGACGGGUAGCCGGCCUGAGAGGGCGACCGGCCACACUGGGACUGAGACACGGCCCAGACUCCUACGGGAGGCAGCAGUGGGGAAGUCUUGCGCAAUGGGCGAAAGCCUGACGCAGCGACGCCGCGUGAGGGAUGACGGCCU